GAACUCGUAAGAUGUGUAAUCUUUUUUAUGCUUUGGUUACAUCUCACUGGUAUGCAAAUCCCACUUCAGAUUAUUCUGGAUCGUUAAACCUAAUACUUUGUGGGAUUCUAGUCUUUCAAGACUAAUGUUUUCAACAACUAAGGUGGGUGGUGGCUGCUCAAUAUCUCGUCGAAAGGAGACGAUCAUCUCUUUACACUUUUUG
Non-coding RNA from Paramuricea clavata, 202 nucleotides. Lineage: Eukaryota; Metazoa; Cnidaria; Anthozoa; Malacalcyonacea; Plexauridae. The record is from the annotation of a GenBank genome assembly.